GUCGAACGAACUCUUCGGAGUUAGUGGCGGACGGGUGAGUAACACGUGGACGCGUGCCUUUAGGUUCGGAAUAACUCAGGGAAACUUGUGCUAAUACCGAAUGUGCCCUUCGGGGGAAAGAUUUAUCGCCAUUAGAGCGGCCCGCGUCUGAUUAGCUAGUUGGUGAGGUAAAGGCUCACCAAGGCGACGAUCAGUAGCUGGUCUGAGAGGAUGAUCAGCCACAUUGGGACUGACCCACGGACCAAACUCCUACGGGAGGCAGCAGUGGGGAAUCUUGCGCAAUGGGCGAAAGCCUGACGCAGCCAUGCCGCGAAAAUGAUGAAGGUCUUAGGAUUGUAAAAUUCUUUCACCGGGGACGAUAAUGACGGUACCCGGAGAAGAAGCCCCGGCUAACUUCGUGCCAGCAGCCGCGGUAAUACGAAGGGGGCUAGCGUUGCUCGGAAUUACUGGGCGUAAAGGGAGCGUAGGCGGACAUUUAAGUCAGGGGUGAAAUCCCGGGGCUCAACCUCGGAAUUGCCUUUGAUACUGGGUGUCUUGAGUAUGAGAGAGGUGUGUGGAACUCCGAGUGUAGAGGUGAAAUUCGUAGAUAUUCGGAAGAACACCAGUGGCGAAGGCGACACACUGGCUCAUUACUGACGCUGAGGCUCGAAAGCGUGGGAGAGCAAACAGGAUUAGAUACCCUGGUAGUCCACGCCGUAAACGAUGAUUGCUAGUUGUCGGGAUGCAUGCAUUUCGGUGACGCAGCUAACGCAUUAAGCAAUCCGCCUGGGGAGUACGGUCGCAAGAUUAAAACUCAAAGGAAUUGACGGGGGCCCGCACAAGCGGUGGAGCAUGUGGUUUAAUUCGAAGCAACGCGCAGAACCUUACCACCUUUUGACAUGCCUGGACCGCCACGGAGACGUGGCUUUCCCUUCGGGGACUAGGACACAGGUGCUGCAUGGCUGUCGUCAGCUCGUGUCGUGAGA
This 965-nucleotide ribosomal RNA is filed under the name Brevundimonas sp. AMF3205. RNAcentral describes it as "bacterial SSU rRNA". It matches the Rfam family "Bacterial small subunit ribosomal RNA", at positions 61 to 1072 of the family's 1533-position model. Lineage: Bacteria; Pseudomonadati; Pseudomonadota; Alphaproteobacteria; Caulobacterales; Caulobacteraceae. RNAcentral also lists the same sequence under 1 other name. The record is from RNAcentral.